CUAUGACGACAUACGUGUACGAAAUUCACUCCAAAAUGGCCUAUCGUCUCGUAUAGUUGGAAAAGAAGCAUGGUGAAGCACCGUGGGACGAAAAGCUAAAAAUUAGCGAAAUAUAAAAAAAUUCUGUAAUGCCAUUUUUUUGGAAAAUGCGAAAACGUCGUACUCUUCGGUAAAAUGUUUUUGGCAUUACAGAAUUUUUUUAUUUUUUGUAUAAUGAAAGUUUUUAGCGGUGCAAUACAGCAUGCAAAAUUUGAACAUAUAGGUCACCAGACAAAAUAGAGAGAUAUAGCGCAUUGCUUCUCUAAAACGGAAAAUUCUAAUGACGUCAGC
Paramuricea clavata is the source of this 330-nucleotide non-coding RNA. NCBI's taxonomy places the organism in Eukaryota, Metazoa, Cnidaria, Anthozoa, Malacalcyonacea, Plexauridae. The record is from the annotation of a GenBank genome assembly.